UACGUAGGUGGCAAGCGUUGUCCGGAAUUAUUGGGCGUAAAGCGCGCGCAGGCGGUCCUUUAAGUCUGAUGUGAAAGCCCACGGCUCAACCGUGGAGGGUCAUUGGAAACUGGGGGACUUGAGUACAGAAGAGAAGAGUGGAAUUCCACGUGUAGCGGUGAAAUGCGUAGAGAUGUGGAGGAACACCAGUGGCGAAGGCGACUCUUUGGUCUGUAACUGACGCUGAGGUGCGAAAGCGUGGGGAGCAAACAGG
Molecule: ribosomal RNA, 253 nt
Filed under: uncultured bacterium
Lineage: Bacteria
Description: partial 16S ribosomal RNA
Rfam family: Bacterial small subunit ribosomal RNA
Source: RNAcentral